UUUACAAUGUAGCUCACACUGCAUGCAGGCUAACUGAUGUUUAUUACGACAUUAUAAGAGAUUGGCGAGUUUUUAUAUUGUCAUGUUUUUGUUUCUCAAGUAAAUAAUCCGGAUUGAAAAUCCAAAAAAUGCUUGAUUACCAUAUUACCAUAUGCUGAAUUCCAGGAAAGGAGAGUGCCUAACCUCAGUUAAAUGACCCUGUCGAUUCAUGAGCGGACCCGCUACAAGACCCUCGACAGGACCCCCUACAGGACCAGAUGGGUCUGGGACAUGUUUUCAGUUCCGUGCAAGGAGCCACCAUCACACCAUGGUUUCCCACCUGAUAUUCUUCACGACCUCCUUGAGGGCAUUGUGCCAGUGGAGUUGGCGUUAUGCUUGCAGGAGAUGAUACACCUCAGGAAGAUUGUUCUUGACACCAAGAAGAUUUAUCUCACGUAGAAAGAGAUUCACCUAAGCAAGAACAAAGAUGACACAACCCCCUGGUUGGUUGCUAAGGGUGUAUAUUAAUUCAGACACAGCUCACAAGACCAUCCACAUUAGAGGAAUUUAUAUAAUUUAUUCAAGAGAGAUUUAACUUUUCUCUUCAAUAUGAAGACCCUGACUUUGAUGGGGAACUCUGCGUCUUGACAGCAUUGUCAGAGUUGCCCUCAAAGCCUGUGGUCAAGAUAAUAAGACUGGACAAUUUAAAUGACUGCCCUCCCCCAGAAUUCACUGCCCAGACUCAGUAACGCACCCAGAGACGGCCCAAUGAAUUCCCAGUUCCAAAAUGUUCCUAUGAUGUGGAACACAUACUUUAGGCCGGUAACACGGUAUAUAAUACCACACAAACACCCAUACAACUCACAAAAGAACAGAAACAUGAUGUUUUAGAAAAAAGGGCUGAGGUCAUUUUUAGUUUCAAUGCCUAUUUCAGUGAUGAGGAGUUGGCAGAAUCUGCAGAGGCAUUAGUGCGCAAGAACCCUUGCCUAAAACAGCGUGGGAGUGAUUGUGGUUGGUUGACUUUGCAGACCAGCUUAUUUUUUAAAAUGGGUAACUAUUUUCACAAGUUGAGUAGAACUUGGUGUCUAGAGGUAGCAGUUAAACUCAGGCAAAAGAAGCCAGUCUAACCCUGAUGGAGCGGCAUCCCACGCAAACAUUUAAAAAAGCGCUGAGCUGAGUUGAAUUACCUGCCAAACUUCCCCAAAGGAGAAAAUGCCACAAGUUCUGAACAGUUCAGACUGCAACUUCUUGAAGAAAUUUCAAGGGCCCGAGACAGAUCUAGUUUUAGUUGAUAGGCUUAUGAACACUACCUUUGCACUGCGCAGAAAGCACUUUAUUGUGGAGAACCCGUCACAUCCUGCAAGUGAAAUCCUGGAAAAUUGGCCUGCUCUUCGAAUGGAGUCACAAAUUUCUGAAUUGCUAAGGAACAUCUUCAGGACCUAUGGUCUCCUUGAAGACAUCGAUGUCAACAGCAGACAGAAAAUUACUCUGCAGGCCCUUCCCAUCUUCCUGCGGGAAGAUGCUGCUGGAUUUUUUAAGAACAGGAACAUACGCAUUUGAUUCAACUGUGUGUCCUUCUAUUUAACCCUCUUUGAUACUACCUUGCAACCAAAGAGGAGUGAUAACUUAAGAAUAUCAACUCCAUUUCUAGCGUCAAUUUUGUUAGUUUUAACAAUGGAUUCAAAAUGAUCAAGUUCAUUGAACUUAUCCAAAAUUUAAAUAGCGAUUACUUCAAAUGUUUGUUUGUCAAUUUAUAUGUUUCAAUUCAUCAACUUCCUCAAAGAAAAUUAGUGUGAAUAAGUUGUCUAGUUUAGAGUAGUAAAUACUUAAAAUGUUUGUUUGUUGAAAUUAUUUGUUUUGAUUGAACAUGAUCACGUUCUCCUCGCUGUGCUCACUCUGAAUCAGUACUUGAUCAUGCGUGGAAUUAAGGAUGUUGGUUUUUCCCCAGAGAGAAGACGGCUGUCGAAUUAACUAAUAAAAUCGAUAUUUCACAAAUAUUUUUUUAGGAUGUCAGAACCAAAACACUAAUUGAUGAUGCAGGCCUAAGACAUAAUGAGUCCUACACCAAUGGUGACCCCAAUCUACAGACAUUGAAGCUAAUUUGAUUUACUGAUUGCUGUCGGGAUGUAAAGACAUUUAAAAAAAAAGAUGACAAAAAUGCUUAUAAAAUAAAUUGCUGUGUUCUUUGAAGUGUUUGUGGGUUUCAGUUCUAAAUAUUAAAUGGAGGAGAUGUUGUAUUCUCCAUCUCUUCUCUCCACCUGGUCUCAGCCCGAGGCCCCAGGAAGGACCACUCCGGUACCCACCCCUGGGUCCCCGGCAGAGUGCCCCUCCCACCGGAGCCUUGGGGAGCUCCUGCAGCGAUACUAGGGCCUCCUGGGGGGUAAACUGGACCACCUGGCCAUCGCCCUUCAGAACACCACCUGUCUCCACCGCUCAACUUCCUCGUCAUAAACAUGUGUGUAAAUGACCUCAUCGAGCGUCAGUCAGGAGCGACCACUUCACUCACCAGGAGAGAAAGAAGAGGAAAAUUAAUGUAAUUGUUGGAGGACUGAAGUGCGUGGAAGUUGUUUGUGUGCACUGUGUUGUUGGACAAAGCUGUUCUCAGGAGGACAGCAUUAAGGGUAGAUGUUUGGGACAUUUCCAUAAGUGGAAAAUGUAAAUAAACAGAAUCAAACAGCAAUCAUUUGGGCCAAAUGUUUUGCUAUAAAUAAUUACGUUCUGCCUGAUUUUAAUCAGUAUCAGAUUUGGCAUCCAGCCUCUCCUGCUGUGUGCUGUAACAAAUGCAACCCAUUCUCACAGAAAUACGUGACACUGUCACGUCAUAUAAUCUAUUCAUUCGUGAUCUGGCACACGUCAUUUUUUUUUUUUCCGUUGCGGUUUGCCUCCAGAGCAGCGCACCUGCAUUAAAUAUAUCCGUGAAUUGCCACAAUUUCUCAGAAUCAAAAGUGAAAGUAGAAACGGGUGGCCAAAAGCAGUCUUAUUGUUAGUUAUCACAGACAAUUUUUCUGUGUUUUUGUUGAAAAAUCUUGAAACAAAUGAGAAAAAUAAACAAUAAAUUAUCUGUAGGCCUAGGGACAUUAGGUACAUGAGUUUGACAUUUCUGCUUUUUGGCACGAAAAAAUUUAAAUGACGUGUCCCAGAUCACGAAUGAAUAGAUAAAUUAAAUGACGUGUCAAUGUCACGUAUUUCCGUGAGACUGGGUUGACAAACAAUGAUACCAACUUAAGUCCUAUAGAUCGCAGAAAGAGGUGGGUUGCAUGUUUGCAAAGGAAUUAAAAACAGAUGAUUACAGGAACAUUAUAUAAACAUUAUUUUGUCUAUGUGAAUCAAUUCCUUUGAACCAGGAUAUAUAUCUUGGCCACAAUCUGUGUUCUAACUACGGCCGUCCCCUCAUUAUAUAUAAUGAUGCUUACGAUGGUACUCCAAUGAAGUACACAAUAAAAGAAGUGAAGUAACUGCUAAUGGAAAAAA
Gadus chalcogrammus (walleye pollock) is the source of this 3450-nucleotide long non-coding RNA. RefSeq lists it as uncharacterized. The transcript is spliced from 7 exons. Lineage: Eukaryota; Metazoa; Chordata; Actinopteri; Gadiformes; Gadidae. The record is from RefSeq and is a predicted model, not a curated record.